CUGCCCCAAAAUUUCCCCUGUUUUUCUGUUGUUUAUGAUUUGUAAAUGGGUUUCCUUUUUUUUUUUUCCCCAUUAUUUUUUGGUUUAUCAUCUAUGAUUUGAUCUAUCUUUUUUGGGUUUCAAGCAAGUUGAAACAUUUUCUUCAAUCAAGUUAUCAAUUUAUUCAGAUUUUUACUUUUGAUUACAAGAUUUUAUUAAUAACAUAUCCCACACCAGCUCUUCUCUGUUCAGAUUUGUUCUUCAUCAUUCUUCUUCUUCUUCUUCUUCUUCUUCUUCUUCUUAUUAUUAUUAUUCUAUGGGUGGGAUAUGUUGUGAAAACAAAAAAUAAAUAAAUGAAAGAGAUGAAGUAGAAAUGAUGCUCUGUUUUGGCCAUUUCUAUUAUUAUGGAAUGGAAGAGAGAUCAUUUGUGUUUUAUUUUAUUUUCUUUUCCCCUCUUUGUAAUGCAUUAUUUAUAACAUAUGUUACAAGGGCAGCCCCACAGUUGCUUGUGUUGCUGCAUAAUGCCCCUCGACAGAUGUUAUGAAAAAUCUAGCUCAAUUCACCUCCUUGUCAAAUUCUUUUCUGUCUACUGCUGUAAUUUUCUUCAGAUUUAAAACCAAGAAUAAGAAUAACUUAUUGAUGCAACUGAAGUUAAAGAAUUUUCAACAACUACAAGGCAUAAGCAUAUUUAGGAUUUAUCAGCAACUUAUGUUUGAAGUAGGAUUUUUCAUGUUCAUAGAUAUUUAGAUGGAAAAUUCAAUCGAUCAAUGAUUUGGAUAGUUGUCAGGGCAACUGCUUGAGUAAGAAAGAGUUAUAAGCAUAUUUAGCAAUAUGAGGUCCCAACAAAGGUUUCAAAGGUAUUGAUUCUUACCUAUUAUACAACACUAACCUACUGAAUAGCUUAAAACAACCCAAUUCUAUUAAAUCCCCAUUUUACUAUUCCUAUGUAAGUUUGUUCUUUGUUUCUUCCUUUCUUGUUUCUUUUCUCUCCUCAUUUUUCUUUCCCUUUUUCAUAACUUUUUCUAUUUGGUUUCUUUUUUGUUUUUGUGUUUGCAAUUCAUUUUUUUCCCUUCAAUUACAAUUUUAUUUUAUUUUUUAAAUUAUUAUGUGAAUUUCAGGUAGGGUUGUGGGGAACCCAUAAAAUUUUGCAAAAGUCAAGUAAAGCUUAAGCAUGUACCUUUGUUGGACUCUGCUUAGGGGCUUGAAAUUGAUGUGGUUAGACCUUCCACAAUGUCCACAACUUAAAUUUCUGAUCAGAGAGAAUACUCCUUUUAUUGUGGUGAUUUGUUGCAACUGCUUGAUAAUUAUCAAAUACUGACAAAAUGACCAGUCAAGUGUUGAGUAAAAGACUCCUUCAUCCCAUUAAGUUUCAAAUGUUAGUCUUAAGCAGGUUGAAUAUUUUUUGUUAUUACUCUUCUUUUUUGCUUGUCUUUUUAUUUUAAUCUUAGUGGCAUGUCAAGUCAUAGAAUAGGUUUGAAGUAUCAUGAUGUUUUCACUAAGCUGUGUUCAUAUGAACUAAGAAAGGCUCUAGAAAUUAUGUACAAAUAAAGGUGAUUAAAUUUUAUCAUUUUUGAAUUUGCUAUUCGACUGUACUUUAAACUCACCAUGCUAUGGCUUGUUGGCAGUUGCACUUUGUUUUAUCAUAUUAAACGCUUUCUAUUAUCUAUUAUUUGUUUUACUUUUUGUGCUAACUUAAGCCGCUUAUUGUUUAUUCAUUUUUUGUAGAUGGAUAAUAAUUAUGUCACUAAGAAAUGGAGAAAGGACCUCAUGGAGGAAUUUGUAACCCUCUAACGUGUAGUUUCAUCCAUUAAUUAUGCAUGUGCUGUGUAUAUAGUGAUUUUACAUACUGCAUUCAAGAAGAAAGAAAUUAGGUUGCAACUACCUAGAUCACCUCAUCCCUAUGGAAAACAAAUUGACUAUUUGAAUAGAUUGGUCAGCGAUAGUGACAUAAAUUGUCAUGACCAACUUCGGAUAAAUAGGCAUACUUUUAUGCUUUUGGGUUGGUGCAAAGUGUUGGAUUGUCUAAUUCAAAGUAUGUCAUCUUAGAGGAGCAAGUAGCAAUGUCUUUGAAUGUGCUUGCACAUCAUACUAAGAACAGCAAAAUUUAAUUUAAUUUCAUACGGUGUGGUCAAACAGUUAGUAAGCACUUCAAUAAUGUUCUCAAGGCCAUGUUGUGCCUCCAUGGUCUCCUCCUUAAGAAGCCUAAACCAAUAAUUGCUAAUUGUACAGAUGAUAGAUGGAGUUGUUUUCAGGUACAAUAUAUUUACAACUUCGCUUAAUUAGCAUAUUAAAUUUUUGUAUUGCCUUUAUUAAUUUUAUAAUAUUGUUUUAUUUUUAGAAUGUCUUGGUGCUUUAGAUGGAACCUAUGUUAAGGUUCUUGCUCCUGUAAUAGACAAACCAAGGUAUAGAACGAGAAAGGGAGAAAUUGCCACAAAUGUAUUGGGUGUGUGCUCCUAAGACAUGCAAUUCAUAUAUGUCUUGCUUAGAUAAGAAGGAUCUGCUUCUGAAUCUAGGGUACUUAGAGAUGCUGUCAGUAGACCCAAUGGGUUGAAAGUCCUUACUGGUAUGAUAAUUAUAUAUUGUUAUAUAUAUAAGUACACUAUCUAUAUUAAACAAUUAUUUUCUUGUAUACAUAGUGAAACCAUCUUACAUAAUUACAGGCCACUACUAUCUCAUAGAUGCGGGUCACACAAAUUGGGAGGGGGGAUUUCUUGUACCAUAUAGAGGACAACGUUACCAUCUUUCCACAUGGAGAGAAGGGGAUGCCCCCAACAACUCCAUAAGAUUUUUUUCAACAUGAGGCACUCUUUUGCUUGUAACGUCACUGAGAGGUUUUUGGGGCUCUUAAAAUGAGGUAUGGAUGGCACAGGUACCACUAGUUCUCAUAAGAAGGGGAAACUUCGAAGGUUUUGGAAUAAUCGUAACGAAGUUUUCCUCAUUACAACCAUGAAAGAUGUAACCACAAGUAAUCCCAGGCGAAAGCUUGAUAAUAAUCAGAUAUGUUAAAGAUAAGUGGUUUGGGUUAGGAUGAUGAACAAAUGAUGGUCCCAGUUGAUAGUGAUGACGUAUGGCUAAACUAUGUCAAGAGGGUGUCAGAUGUAAAAAGGAUGUGAAACGGGCCAUUCCCAUUGGCUUAUUCUAUUUGGAAAGGAUAGGAAGACUGAUAAACUGGCUGAGGAUCUUGCUGAUGCAGUUGCGACCAUGGAAAAAGAGGAUGCAAAUGCAACUACAAAAUAAGGAAAACAGUCUCCUAUUGAACAGUUUAGUAUGAACAUGGGUGAUACAGACUACUCAAUGUCUACUACAGGUAAUGUUCCCAACCAUGCUGACUCUACUAAAACUGGGAAAGAAAGGGACUCGACCUGCUAAGGGGAUUCCUAUUGAACUAUUAGAGAUGGCAAAAAAUCUUGGAUCAUUAAUUGAGAAUACUAAUAUUACGAUAGUGGAGAUUGCUCAUAGGAUAGGAUAUUCACAUGACCUAUCCCAACAAAGGAGGUUGGUUAAUGUAGAACUUCUGAAGUUGCCAAUGAGUAAUACCCAAAGAUUGAUGGCAGCAUCUAUAAUAGUGAAAGGUGAAGACAAAGUUGACUUGUUCUUCAGUUUAAAUGAGAAUGACAAGAUGGAGUGGGUUUCUUUGCUAUUAAAAGGUCAUAUUUGAAUGUGGCAUCGAUUGUAUGAUGCUCUUUUUAUUUGCCACAUGACUUGUAAUAUAUAAUGUGAUGCAUAAAUAUUAUAGCUUAGGUAUUGUCUGCUGUUGCAAUCUGUUUAUCUGCUGCAAUAUAUUGUAUGAUGGUCUUUUUGUUGAGCUACUGCUGCUCUCUGCUAUAUUGGUUUAAUCUACUGCUGCAAUCUGUUUAUAUGAUGCUGCUGUGUUGGGCUGGUUAAGACUGAUUUUUGUAGUCAAGGUUUCCACUUCAAGUUGUUCUGUUCUAAUGCCUCUGCUAUGAUGGUGUCCAAGACCAGAGGUUAUUGUGGUUGCUGCUUGGGUGCUAGAAUUGUCUGUUAUGGGCCGGCUUUUAUUUUGUUCUACUAGUAUAUUUGGUUUUGGCCUAUCCAUGUGGAUUGUAUAUUGUAGUAUAUUAUAAAUUUGUUGUAGCUUGGAACUUUUUUUAAAUUAAGGAUGUCAAGUUGAUAUUGUUAUUUGGACUUA
This is a non-coding RNA of Camellia sinensis, 4129 nucleotides long. The record is from RefSeq and is a predicted model, not a curated record. Lineage: Eukaryota; Viridiplantae; Streptophyta; Magnoliopsida; Ericales; Theaceae.